AACGUAGGUGGCAAGCGUUGUCCGGAAUUACUGGGUGUAAAGGGAGCGCAGCUGGGCGUGCAAGUUGAAUGUGAAAACUAUGGGCUCAACCCAUAGAUUGCGUUCAAAACUGCGCGUCUUGAGUGGAGUAGAGGCAGGCGGAAUUCCAUGUGUAGCGGUGGAAUGCGUAGAUAUCUGGAGGAACACCAGUGGCGAAGGCGGCCUGCUGGGCUCUAACUGACACUGAGGCUCGAAAGCGUGGGUAGCAAACAGGA
Molecule: ribosomal RNA, 254 nt
Filed under: uncultured prokaryote
Description: partial 16S ribosomal RNA
Rfam family: Bacterial small subunit ribosomal RNA
Source: RNAcentral